This is a long non-coding RNA of Salvia miltiorrhiza (redroot sage), 562 nucleotides long. RefSeq lists it as uncharacterized. The record is from RefSeq and is a predicted model, not a curated record. The transcript is spliced from 2 exons. NCBI's taxonomy places the organism in Eukaryota, Viridiplantae, Streptophyta, Magnoliopsida, Lamiales, Lamiaceae.
GAGGCAGCUCAUCAAAUUAAUAGGGCGGCCGAUGAAGCGAUGAUAGGGAUAUGGAUAAUCAAGACGGCCGUGAAAAGAAUGGAUGGGGAAAGAGCAGGUGUGGUUGUUGAUGGAAGCAUCAGCCAGCCUAAUGCCUAGUUCUAACAUGGGAUUGCCGCAGUUGUUGGGGUCAUUCUUGAGGCGGAAAGGGGGCCAAAUAUUGCCAAGAAUGCCGCAGCUAGAGGGGCUGCAAUGGCUGCUGUUAGCAGCAAUAGAGGUUUCGAAGAAAUGUUGGAGAGAGAGUAUCAAGAGAGAGAAGAGGAGGUUUUGAGCGAUAAUCAUCGUCUUCUUAAUUCAUUCACUUCAUCAGGGGAAAUUAACUAGCCCUAACUAUUAACCAUGUUUAAAUUAAUUAGUUGAAUACUUGUGUGUUUUGGUGAUUGAGACGUGUGAUAUCGGGAGCUUCUUACAUUUGGAUUCAGAUUCUCAUUUUAUAUUUCUGUCAUAUAUGAAGGCAUAAAUUGGAGUACGUAACGUAAUAUUGUUGUGCAGUGGAUUUUAUUAGUUCUUCCAUAAUUUCAAC